GCAAGUAGAACGCUGAAGCUUGGUGCUUGCACCGAGCGGAUGAGUUGCGAACGGGUGAGUAACGCGUAGGUAACCUGCCUGGUAGCGGGGGAUAACUAUUGGAAACGAUAGCUAAUACCGCAUAAUAGUAGAUGUUGCAUGACAUUUGCUUAAAAGGUGCAAUUGCAUCACUACCAGAUGGACCUGCGUUGUAUUAGCUAGUUGGUGAGGUAACGGCUCACCAAGGCAACGAUACAUAGCCGACCUGAGAGGGUGAUCGGCCACACUGGGACUGAGACACGGCCCAGACUCCUACGGGAGGCAGCAGUAGGGAAUCUUCGGCAAUGGACGGAAGUCUGACCGAGCAACGCCGCGUGAGUGAAGAAGGUUUUCGGAUCGUAAAGCUCUGUUGUAAGAGAAGAACGAGUGUGAGAGUGGAAAGUUCACAC
This 428-nucleotide ribosomal RNA is filed under the name Streptococcus sp. RAG22. Its description in RNAcentral is "bacterial SSU rRNA". It matches the Rfam family "Bacterial small subunit ribosomal RNA", at positions 57 to 469 of the family's 1533-position model. The record is from RNAcentral. Lineage: Bacteria; Bacillati; Bacillota; Bacilli; Lactobacillales; Streptococcaceae.